RNAcentral lists this ribosomal RNA (414 nucleotides) under uncultured microorganism. RNAcentral describes it as "bacterial SSU rRNA". It matches the Rfam family "Archaeal small subunit ribosomal RNA", at positions 459 to 872 of the family's 1478-position model. The record is from RNAcentral.
CAGCCGCCGCGGUAAUUCCGGCGGCCCGAGUGGCGGUCACUAUUAUUGGGCUUAAAGCGUCCGUAGCCGGGUUGGGAAGUCCUCCGGGAAAUCUGGCCGCUUAACGGUCAGAAUGCCGGAGGAUACUCCCAGCCUAGGGAGCGGGAGAGGCCGAGGGUAUUCCCGGAGUAGGGGUGAAAUCCUAUAAUCCCGGGAGGACCACCUGUGGCGAAGGCGCUCGGCUGGAACGCGUCCGACGGUGAGGGACGAAGGCCAGGGGAGCAAACCGGAUUAGAUACCCGGGUAGUCCUGGCGGUAAACGAUGCGGACUUUGUGUCGGACAAGCUAUGAGCUUGUCCGGUGCCGGAGGGAAACCGUUAAGUCCGCCGGCUGGGGAGUACGGCCGCAAGGCUGAAACUUAAAGGAAUUGGCGGG